Molecule: ribosomal RNA, 253 nt
Filed under: uncultured bacterium
Lineage: Bacteria
Description: partial 16S ribosomal RNA
Rfam family: Bacterial small subunit ribosomal RNA
Source: RNAcentral
GACAGAGGGUGCAAACGUUGCUCGGAAUCACUGGGCGUAAAGCGUGCGCGGGCGGUUAUGCAAGACAGAUGUGAAAUCCCCGGGCUCAACCUGGGAACUGCAUUUGUGACUGCAUGGCUAGAGUACGGUAGAGGGGGAUGGAAUUCCGCGUGUAGCAGUGAAAUGCGUAGAUAUGCGGAGGAACACCGAUGGCGAAGGCAAUCCCCUGGACCUGUACUGACGCUCAUGCACGAAAGCGUGGGGAGCAAACAGG